Molecule: ribosomal RNA, 634 nt
Filed under: Melanoleuca verrucipes
Lineage: Eukaryota; Fungi; Basidiomycota; Agaricomycetes; Agaricales; Pluteaceae
Description: eukaryotic LSU rRNA
Rfam family: 5.8S ribosomal RNA (bases 290-443)
Source: RNAcentral
AUAAACUGGUGGAUUGCUGCUGGUUCUUAGGAACAUGUGCACAUUCACCUUUGUUUCAUUCUUUCUCCACCUGUGCAUCCUUUGUAGGCUUGGAUAUUUGCUCUCAAGAAUUGAAAUAAAUUAAAGUCUAUUCUAUUCUUGGAUUGAAGGAUUGAUUUUUUUUCUAAAAAAAACUCUCCUUUGUGCAUCCAGCCUAUGUUUUUUAUUAUCAAUUUACACCUCAUUAGUAUGUCUUUGGAAUGUUAAUUAUCUGGCCCUUUCUUUUGAUUAGGCCAUAAAAACUUAAUACAACUUUCAACAACGGAUCUCUUGGCUCUCGCAUCGAUGAAGAACGCAGCGAAAUGCGAUAAGUAAUGUGAAUUGCAGAAUUCAGUGAAUCAUCGAAUCUUUGAACGCACCUUGCGCUCCUUGGUAUUCCGAGGAGCAUGCCUGUUUGAGUGUCAUUAAAUUCUCAAUCCCUUUUCUGAGUUUAUUCUCAGCUGGUGGGGUUGGAUAUGGGGGGUUUUGCUGGUUUUUAACAAAGUCAGCUCUCCUAAAAGUCAUUAGCAAGACUCCUGUUGCAACUGUCUAUCUGAUGUGAUAACAAUCUACAUCUUGGACUGUUUGCAGUGCUACCCUGUCUGGCUGCUAAAAG